RNAcentral lists this ribosomal RNA (512 nucleotides) under Cerambycinae sp. IBE JGZ-3823. Its description in RNAcentral is "partial large subunit ribosomal RNA". It matches the Rfam family "Bacterial large subunit ribosomal RNA", at positions 1830 to 2603 of the family's 2925-position model. The record is from RNAcentral. Lineage: Eukaryota; Metazoa; Arthropoda; Insecta; Coleoptera; Cerambycidae.
GUCCUUUUGAUUAUAAUUUAAGGUCUAACCUGCCCGCUGAAGGGAUGAAGGGCCGCGGUAUUUUGACCGUGCAAAGGUAGCAUAAUAAUUAGUUUUUUAAAUGAAAGCUGGAAUGAAUGGUUGAAUAAGAAAAUAACUGUCUCUAAAAAAUUUUUAUAGAAUUUUAUUUUUGAGUAAGAAAGCUUAAAUGUGAUUAGAAGACGAGAAGACCCUAUAGAGUUUUAUAAAUAUAGAUUUUUUUGUUUUUAGGAAUUUUUAAUGAUAAGGUUUAAAUUUAUUUGGUUGGGGAGACUAAAAAAUUUGAAUAACUUUUUUUAAUUUAAACAUUAAUAUAUGAUUUUUUGAUCCAGAGUUUCUGAUUUAAGGAUAAAAUUACCUUAGGGAUAACAGCGUAAUUCUUUUUGAGAGUUCUAAUCGAAAAAGGAGUUUGCGACCUCGAUGUUGGAUUAAAAUUAAAUUUUGGUGCAGAAGCUAAAAGUUUGGGUCUGUUCGACCCUUGAAAUUUUACAUGA